AGAUAUUUAGAAGCUUGCUUUUAAUAUCUUAGCGGCGGACGGGUGAGUAACGUGUGGGCAACCUGCCUCAUACAGAGGGAUAAUCAUGUGAAAACGUGACUAAUACCGCAUGUCAUUUGUUGAAGGCAUCUUCGACAAAGAAAAGGAGUAAUCCGGUAUGAGAUGGGCCCGCAUCUGAUUAGCUAGUUGGUGAGAUAACAGCCCACCAAGGCGACGAUCAGUAGCCGACCUGAGAGGGUGAUCGGCCACAUUGGGACUGAGACACGGCCCAAACUCCUACGGGAGGCAGCAGUGGGGAAUAUUGCACAAUGGGGGAAACCCUGAUGCAGCAACGCCGCGUGAAGGAAGACGGUUUUCGGAUUGUAAACUUCUAUCAAUAGGGACGAAGAAAGUGACGGUACCUAAAUAAGAAGCCCCGGCUAACUACGUGCCAGCAGCCGCGGUAAUACGUAGGGGGCAAGCGUUAUCCGGAAUUACUGGGUGUAAAGGGUGAGUAGGCGGCAUGACAAGUAAGAUGUGAAAGCCCGUGGCUUAACCACGGGAUUGCAUUUUAAACUGUUGAGCUAGAGUACAGGAGAGGAAAGCGGAAUUCCCAGUGUAGCGGUGAAAUGCGUAGAUAUUGGGAAGAACACCAGUGGCGAAGGCGGCUUUCUGGACUGAAACUGACGCUGAGGCACGAAAGCGUGGGGAGCAAACAGGAUUAGAUACCCUGGUAGUCCACGCCGUAAACGAUGAGUGCUAGGUGUCGGAGGGGAACCUUCGGUG
Molecule: ribosomal RNA, 765 nt
Filed under: uncultured bacterium
Lineage: Bacteria
Description: bacterial SSU rRNA
Rfam family: Bacterial small subunit ribosomal RNA
Source: RNAcentral